Topomyia yanbarensis is the source of this 1508-nucleotide long non-coding RNA. RefSeq lists it as uncharacterized. The record is from RefSeq and is a predicted model, not a curated record. The transcript is spliced from 4 exons. Lineage: Eukaryota; Metazoa; Arthropoda; Insecta; Diptera; Culicidae.
UUUAAAUAAUUGGACGAACUAUUUACAACAGUUAGCAACAAAAUAGUAUACAACCCUAUUUACAUGUAUGUACAACACUUUUAGAUCACUUUCGAUUCCCACGGCAAACCCUCAGGCGGGCAAGUCUACCGGCGGGCAACCUGACGUUUCUCACGUCAGUUACAAAACGUCACACCAAUGUCAUUGGAGCAUAUCGUUAUGCUCAAUGUUUAUAUGGUGAUGAAAGUGCUAAAAGUGUAAUUGCAGUUCAAUAAUCGUUGAAAUCGGCCAAAUUUUCAACGAAAAUCGAGGACAUAAACAGUGGUGGUCUUUUGCUGCCAGGAUGCAAUCUUUCUGCGAAAGAUUGACCUGCAGUAACCACCAAAUCUUCCUGGGAUCAACCAUGAAGCCAUCUUGUCUUGCAAGAUGCACUACAGAUAUGGCCAAUUUUACUAAGUGUGCCAUCCCCUCAUCGCAUCUCCACCGUCGGGGCUCAGAUAAAGGGCAAACUAUUAACCCCUUCAUCUUCCCCAGGAUCGGCCAGUGCGACUAUGGAUGGCCCAUGGUGGAAUGAAAAAGUACCUGUGACUCAUCCAAACCAACCAGAACGCAAGCGGAUUACAGGACCAGAUAUGUCGACUCCAGAGUAAAAAUGGAAGUGUUAUCCGUAACCUCUGGCUAAAGCCAACAUCUCGAACCUGCCCUUCAUUUCUGUCGGUCUAGCCUGAUCAGUAAUCAAAGUAUCUGUAAAGAAAUUAAAUAAACUUAUUUUUGAACUAUCCGAACCAACUUUGGUCCGAACUUCACUCUCCGCCUCAUCAUUACUGAGAAAUUCUUACUUUUUUCCGUUAACAUGCGUAUACGGGAGUUGAACGUAUUGCGCCCGUUGGGAUUGCUAUCAAUACCCAACGGGAAUCUGUCCUGAUGUAGGACAUUAUACAAAGUAUUGGAAUUUUCCAAUUUAAUUAUGAUUAGCAGACUGGUAUGGAUGGUAGGUAGAUUUAUCCUCACCCAACGAUCUGCGUAUUCUGUUCCGUUUUGUGCUGAUCAAUUCUAAAUGUACAAUUUACAUCAUCGGUGCGCUCUAUUGUGUGCCGAUUCAAAGCGGGAUAGAGCAAAGCAAAAAUGCCGAAAACGAUGAAUGAUUUAAUUAUUGCUGGUAGGUAUGUUAAACUUGUUGCUAUUGUAAAUAAUUUUAGAUUGGACUAUGAGAGCAAAGGUAAUGUACAUAUAAUACACAAAUCAACGUUUUACAACACUCAAGGCAAACCAUAAAUAUUGAAUUUCUUUGCGCGGAAAACAAUUUUGAGAAGCACAUAGUGUCCUCUUUUGCGAUCAGGACCUCUUAUCGCGUUUUAUCGUCACUUUCACUUUCUUUUCUUGUGGAGCAGUGGGACAGUGAAAGGGCACAAACAUUCGUGCUUUACACGAAUCCCUGCCACCUCCCGUCGGAAAAAUCCUUAGAUUUUUGAACUCUACCGAACCCUUGAUUACCUUUCGCGGACUUUUAGUUGGGCGCCAAUUGUUAC